Molecule: long non-coding RNA, 716 nt
Organism: Rhineura floridana
Lineage: Eukaryota; Metazoa; Chordata; Lepidosauria; Squamata; Rhineuridae
Exons: 3
Source: RefSeq, a predicted model, not a curated record
GGAUGGCGGCGGUGGGCAGGGGGGAUUUCGGGUCGGGGUCGCGGCUGGACCCCGCAGCGCUCAUAGAGCAAGUCAAAGUACGGGUCGCCGUGGGCACCGCCCAGGAGCUGCUGCAGGAUGCAACUUACAAGGGGGCGGAGCCACGUCUCCCGCGACAGCGAAGACUACGGAGACCUCUGCCCGCAAGACGGAGGGUCACCCAGGUGCGAUGCUAAGCAUCUGAACAACAGCUCAACCCACCUCUGUAAUGUCCCGGUAGAACUUACUUCCUGUAUGACAUUGUAUUUAUUUUAUUUCUUGCAUUUACAUCCCAGUUUUCCUCCAAGGAGCUCAAGGUCGUGUACAGGGUUCUUCUCCCUCCCCCCCCCCAUUUUAUCUUCACAGCAACCCUGUGAGGUAGGUGAGGCUGAGAGUUAGUGACUGGCCCCCAAAGUCACCCAAAGAGCUUCAUGGCUGGGUGGGGAUCUGAACUCAGGUCUCCUAGGUCCUCAUCCAGCGUGACUAAAGCCAACUAGAUAGUUUGGGGCUAGCCAGCCCCUCUCUUUCUCCAUCAGGCUAAACUACCUCACAGGGUUGUUGCGAAGACAAAACAGGUAGGGAAGAAAGUGUUUUAGCCACCUUGAGAGGAAAAAAGGUUAGAAUAUAUAUUUAGUACUCAGUCUGGGGUCCAGGAAAUCCCCCAAAGUGCUUUUGGAAUAAACUCACUUUGUACAAUU